AUACCGCAUAACGUCGCAAGACCAAAGAGGGGGACCUUCGGGCCUCUUGCCAUCAGAUGUGCCCAGAUGGGAUUAGCUUGUUGGUGAGGUAACGGCUCACCAAGGCGACGAUCCCUAGCUGGUCUGAGAGGAUGACCAGCCACACUGGAACUGAGACACGGUCCAGACUCCUACGGGAGGCAGCAGUGGGGAAUAUUGCACAAUGGGCGCAAGCCUGAUGCAGCCAUGCCGCGUGUAUGAAGAAGGCCUUCGGGUUGUAAAGUACUUUCAGCGGGGAGGAAGGUGUUGUGGUUAAUAACCACAGCAAUUGACGUUACCCGCAGAAGAAGCACCGGCUAACUCCGUGCCAGCAGCCGCGGUAAUACGGAGGGUGCAAGCGUUAAUCGGAAUUACUGGGCGUAAAGCGCACGCAGGCGGUCUGUCAAGUCGGAUGUGAAAUCCCCGGGCUCAACCUGGGAACUGCAUUCGAAACUGGCAGGCUUGAGUCUUGUAGAGGGGGGUAGAAUUCCAGGUGUAGCGGUGAAAUGCGUAGAGAUCUGGAGGAAUACCGGUGGCGAAGGCGGCCCCCUGGACAAAGACUGACGCUCAGGUGCGAAAGCGUGGGGAGCAAACAGGAUUAGAUACCCUGGUAGUCCACGCCGUAAACGAUGUCUACUUGGAGGUUGUGCCCUUGAGGCGUGGCUUCCGGAGCUAACGCGUUAAGUAGACCGCCUGGGGAGUACGGCCGCAAGGUUAAAACUCAAAUGAAUUGACGGGGGCCCGCACAAGCGGUGGAGCAUGUGGUUUAAUUCGAUGCAACGCGAAGAACCUUACCUGGUCUUGACAUCCACAGAACUUUCCAGAGAUGGAUUGGUGCCUUCGGGAACUGUGAGACAGGUGCUGCAUGGCUGUCGUCAGCUCGUGUUGUGAAAUGUUGGGUUAAGUCCCGCAACGAGCGCAAC
Molecule: ribosomal RNA, 941 nt
Filed under: Salmonella enterica subsp. enterica serovar Braenderup
Lineage: Bacteria; Pseudomonadati; Pseudomonadota; Gammaproteobacteria; Enterobacterales; Enterobacteriaceae
Description: bacterial SSU rRNA
Rfam family: Bacterial small subunit ribosomal RNA
Source: RNAcentral